Acomys russatus (golden spiny mouse) is the source of this 503-nucleotide long non-coding RNA. RefSeq lists it as uncharacterized. The transcript is spliced from 2 exons. The record is from RefSeq and is a predicted model, not a curated record. NCBI's taxonomy places the organism in Eukaryota, Metazoa, Chordata, Mammalia, Rodentia, Muridae.
GAAAGGCAUUUUGAACUUGAAAUGUUCUUUUACCUACAGAAAUGUAUCUGCAGCAAAGUGAGAAGGCUAUGUGUGGAAGUCAUCACUGCUCCAUCUGUGAAGACUGGCCUUUCAAGUCUGUCAAAAGUAAAGUUAUAUUUGCAGGAGGUUCAUUCGUGGUAAUCUCCUCCAGCUCCCCAGGAGUGCUCAACACCCGACCCUGAGUGCCUGUGCCCUGAGCAGCGACACGGUACCUGCAGGGAGGAGGCCACAUUUCCAAGUACAACACCAGACCGUACCCUUACGCCUCACACUUUCACUGCACAUAAUGGCUGUGCACACUCUCAAGCUACUGUCACCGGAUGCUUACUGCCCUCUCCAGAUCCACGCCCUGCCUGUCCUGGGCAGCUGUACCCACUCAGGGUCUUGAUCUUUUAUUGCCUUAAGUAAGAGUCUAUAUGCAUGUGUCUAGAUGGGGAAGUAACUUUCAUAUCUCUUUAGUGCAUUCAUAGGGUUCAAGAAAA